This 70-nucleotide transfer RNA is filed under the name Loxodonta africana (African savanna elephant). It matches the Rfam family "tRNA". Rfam says of the family: Transfer RNA (tRNA) molecules are approximately 80 nucleotides in length. Their secondary structure includes four short double-helical elements and three loops (D, anti-codon, and T loops). Lineage: Eukaryota; Metazoa; Chordata; Mammalia; Proboscidea; Elephantidae. The record is from Rfam by way of RNAcentral.
GCAGAGGUGGUUCAGCGGUAGAAUUUUCACCUUCCAUAUGAGAGACCCAGAUUCAAUUCUGGCCAGUACA